This 74-nucleotide transfer RNA is filed under the name Actinomycetota bacterium. RNAcentral's name for it is "Actinobacteria bacterium tRNA-Ile". It matches the Rfam family "tRNA". From Rfam's summary of the family: Transfer RNA (tRNA) molecules are approximately 80 nucleotides in length. Their secondary structure includes four short double-helical elements and three loops (D, anti-codon, and T loops). Lineage: Bacteria; Bacillati; Actinomycetota. The record is from RNAcentral.
GGGGCGGUAGCUCAGUCGGUUAGAGCAGAGGACUCAUAAUCCGUGGGUCGUGGGUUCGAGCCCCACCCGCCCUA